UUGAACGUUUUACUUCGUUACUUGCAACUUUCAGAUCGCCUUCUAUGCGAUUAACGUCACUUUCCAAAGCAUCAAAAACGUAAUGACAAUGCUACUCAUCUAGAAUUACGAGUCCAUCAAAAAUAUAAAAUAUUUUGUGCUGGUAUUUAUAUCACAAACAUGGCUUUUGAAGAGUAUAGUGGUGUUUAUCUACCUGAGCGUGGAGUGUGAGAGGUUCUAUGCGGCCAUGAGGGAUGUACACGAUACCAGUAUCAUGCUCAUGAACUCAGAACAAUUUGCAGAACUGGACAUGCGAGUGUACAAGAACAUCCAUCGUGCGCGAAGAUCAUUGUUCAGUAAGCUGGACGGAUGUCGUCUCUUUCAAGUGGACGCUGAACUGCCGCUGCAGCUGUCCAGGCUCAUCUCCUCUUAUAUCAUCGUGUGCUUGCAGUUCGCCUUCUUGUAAUACAAACGUAUCUUUUACUUCAAUACAGGGUUAUAGGUAAAACCCUAACAACCUCUCAGGACCAUAUUACUAAUAUCAUAAACUAAAACUUUUGUUCUAUGACUUUUAAUAAUUGCUAGCCGCCACACAGCGGUUACGAGAUUACGGGCAAUUCCGGCAUGCCAUCAGGGAUAGUGAUCGUCCACCGAGGCACACAGUACGUGAAGAAGACGAUAUUUUGUGUUUUUAUUUGACCUUUUCGUAAAAAGGCGGGAUAUCUUAGCGUAGCGAGUUACCAACUCAAAAGUAUGAUUAGGUACGAGAAUAGUGCGCGGGAGGCGUAGGGUAGACAAAGAUCUUGCAUUCAUUCUAAAAAUGCAAACCCUUCACCAAACGAAUUUAUUGUAAUGUGUGAUAAUCUCGACUCGUCCGCACACUCUAAGGUCGACUAAUCGCUCGACUGGUCUCGAUCGGGCCUUUUGUUGGUGAAGAAAUGGUAGGGGCGUGCUUUAUCACUAUAGCAAAAUAGAGUUGAAAUGUGUUAAAUAGACCAAUGAAAUCUUGUAGGUUUGUUUUUGGCAAAUGUAUUAUGUUUUAUAAAAAAUCAUAGAACAAAAGUUGUAGUUUAUUACGUUAGUAAUACAGUCCUGCAAGGUUGUUAGUGAUUUUAACAAUAACCCUGUAUAAGUGGUUUCUUUAUUAAUGGUGAUGUUUUCUUUCUUUAUUAAUGGUGAUGUUUUCUUCUGUUUAUUGUCUUGUUUUCAUAUGUAUUGUUAUUUUUAUCAAUUAUAUUCGGUGUGACGUUAAGAUUGGCAGUGACAAGCCUUUAAUUUAUGCUAUUAUCAUUAUCUUGUAAACGUUUAAUAAAUCACGUUCACUUUGGUUAUCA
This is a long non-coding RNA of Helicoverpa armigera (cotton bollworm), 1313 nucleotides long. RefSeq lists it as uncharacterized. The record is from RefSeq and is a predicted model, not a curated record. NCBI's taxonomy places the organism in Eukaryota, Metazoa, Arthropoda, Insecta, Lepidoptera, Noctuidae. The transcript is spliced from 3 exons.